Xylaria nigripes is the source of this 107-nucleotide non-coding RNA. Lineage: Eukaryota; Fungi; Ascomycota; Sordariomycetes; Xylariales; Xylariaceae. The record is from the annotation of a GenBank genome assembly.
GGCUUCGUGGCCCAAUGGCAAGGCGUCUGACUACGAGAAAGAUUCAACAACACUGAAUCCUUUCAACGGUAAUCAGGAGAUUCUGGGUUCGACCCCCAGCGAGGUCA